CAAGGGCGGCCCAACUCAAUCCUGCCGCGGUGCUCUUCAUUGAGUGUCGAGGUGGGCCGGCACGUUUACUUUGAACAAAUUAGAGUGCUUAAAGCAGGCUAAAACUUCGCCUGAAUACUGUGUGCAUGGAAUAAUGGAAUAGGACCUCGGUUCUAUUUUGUUGGUUUUCGGAACCCCGAGGUAAUGAUUAAUAGGAACGGAUGGGGGCAUUCGUAUUGCGACGUUAGAGGUGAAAUUCUUGGAUCGUCGCAAGACGGACAGAAGCGAAAGCAUUUGCCAAAAACGCUUUCAUUGAUCAAGAACGAAAGUUAGAGGUUCGAAGGCGAUCAGAUACNGCCCUAGUUCUAACCAUAAACGAUGCCAGCUAGCGAUCCGUCGACGUUCCUCCGAUGACUCGACGGGCAGCUUCCGGGAAACCAAAGCUUUUGGGUUCCGGGGGAAGUAUGGUUGCAAAGCUGAAACUUAAAGGAAUUGACGGAAGGGCACCACCAGGAGUGGAGCCUGCGGCUUAAUUUGACUCAACACGGGAAACCUCACCAGGCCCGGACACCGGAAGGAUUGACAGAUUGAGAGCUCUUUCUUGAUUCGGUGGGUGGUGGUGCAUGGCCGUUCUUAGUUGGUGGAGCGAUUUGUCUGGUUAAUUCCGAUAACGAACGAGACUCUAGCCUGCUAACUAGGCGUAUUUUGACAUCCUAAAGGCCCGCCGGCUCGGGG
This 714-nucleotide ribosomal RNA is filed under the name Foucartia squamulata. RNAcentral describes it as "SSU rRNA". It matches the Rfam family "Eukaryotic small subunit ribosomal RNA", at positions 687 to 1416 of the family's 1831-position model. Lineage: Eukaryota; Metazoa; Arthropoda; Insecta; Coleoptera; Curculionidae. The record is from RNAcentral.